This 542-nucleotide transfer RNA is filed under the name uncultured Prochlorococcus sp. Its description in RNAcentral is "partial 16S-23S ribosomal RNA intergenic spacer". The stretch from base 214 to 286 matches the Rfam family "tRNA". Lineage: Bacteria; Bacillati; Cyanobacteriota; Cyanophyceae; Synechococcales; Prochlorococcaceae. The record is from RNAcentral.
CAGGGAGACAACAAAAUGUUUAAUAUUAUUAUUUUGUCACCUUAGGUCGAUCGGUAUCUCACGUUCUUAAAUUUAUUAAGGAUUUCAUUUCCUAAGUUUUUCUAGGUCACACCCAUUUAUUUUCCCUGGGCCAUUAGCUCAGGUGGUUAGAGCGCACCCCUGAUAAGGGUGAGGUCCCUGGUUCAAGUCCAGGAUGGCCCAUAUCUCUAUGUUGGGGGUAUAGCUCAGUUGGUAGAGCGCCUGCUUUGCAAGCAGGAUGUCAGCGGUUCGAGUCCGCUUACCUCCACUGAUUUACCGCCUCUUCCAUAACUGGUAGAAGGGAAAUGUUUUGAGUCGUGAUCAAAUUCUGAACGAAUCUAGCUUCCUGAUGUAAUCAUUAAGAUGCUGGACUCAUUGAAUUAAUUUCAUUGUUUUCAGAGAACCUUGACAACUGCAUAGAUUAUUUUAAAGACAAUAAGCAUCUUUAAUGAUGCAGAUUUAUUAUUUGUGCGAAUGCAUUAAUAACAAUUCUAUUAAGCUGAUGCUUCAAUUUUGAAGUUAUU